GGAGAGCUGGCCGAGUGGUCGAAGGCGCUUGAUUCGAAAUCAAGUGUACCGGCAACGGUACCGUGGGUUCGAAUCCCACGCUCUCCGCCA
Molecule: transfer RNA, 90 nt
Filed under: Polyangiaceae bacterium LLY-WYZ-14_1
Lineage: Bacteria; Pseudomonadati; Myxococcota; Polyangiales; Polyangiaceae
Description: tRNA-Ser
Rfam family: tRNA
About the family: Transfer RNA (tRNA) molecules are approximately 80 nucleotides in length.
Source: RNAcentral